Molecule: non-coding RNA, 3059 nt
Organism: Podarcis lilfordi (Lilford's wall lizard)
Lineage: Eukaryota; Metazoa; Chordata; Lepidosauria; Squamata; Lacertidae
Source: the annotation of a GenBank genome assembly
GGGAACAAAUAUGCCUCUUAAAUCUUAUGUCAGACAGUGUAUCCUUGCCAGAGGUAAAACUUAAUUUGCAGUCUUAUCCACAUACUCAUUGAACUCGAUGUGAGUGUGGAUUUUGUGUAGCUAAGCACAGGACUGCAGGAUGUGUUUCAGGGGCUGUGUGUCUAGGCAUUCAGGCUAUGCUAUCAGAUCCUUCAAGGGUCCCAAUUUAAUCAGGACUUCUUGAAUUGGCAGAAGCUGCUCCAGCUUCUGAGCCCAAUCCAGGAUGCCCUGAUUUUCCCAGAGGCCACUCUAAGCUGCGCUGCAUCUCAAAAUGCGUCACGGGCUGGAGCGAUCUGGGAAAGGAAGAGGUCAGCAGCAGGUAAGGGGCAAGCGACGGAGAUGGGGGGUGGACGGUGCCCCAAUUUUUUUCACGAAAUGUUGGAGGGUGUGCACUAACAGCAACCAAGAAAUAAGUCAAUGGAUCCAAUAUACAUUCCUUUGGGGUCCUUUUUCCAAUGCGCACAUUCAUAUUUGUGAGAUGGAUGAUGGAGAAGAAAAUGACUGGGGAGCUGUGCAUUAGGCAAUUCUGACAUGGAUAUAAGAAAUGGUGAACUUCAGGAAGCAUAGGACGCAGAAUGGAAUGAAGAAGAGAAACAGUCAAGAAAGAGAACAGAAGACCACACAGCCUUGGCAAAGUGCACCCUGUUCUCCCCGUCAGCACAAGAUGACUAAUUGCCUUCCCCAGUGGCACUUGGACUUAGUCUAGAAGGAGGUUGCAUCACCCAACAGAGCUGAAGAAGGGCUAUAUAAAGAAAGCAGAGAGCACCAUCCUGAGCACAGCAGAGACCAAAGGCAACUCUUCCUUGCCUGUAUUCUUUUUUGCCAACUCAAGGAGGAUACUCCAAUUCUGACGCACCAUGAAGUCGUGUCUCAUCCUGCUAGCUGCAAUGCUGUUGGUUUCAACGCUUAGCGGUUCUGAUGGUGAAGACAAACCGGGCCACGUAGUAAGUAAUGUUAAAUGUUUGUAGGUGUUUGUAUGUGGAAUGGUUUGAGGGUGUGAAUUGGCUCCUUGCUAUAUAUGGCAAAGGUGUGUUCUGUUGCUUGUUCUAAAACGAAACAAAUAGGGUGUGAGUAGAAGAUGAGAGCCUGGGUUGUUUCCUACUCAGAGCAGACCCAUUGAAAUGAAUGGGCACAACUAACAGGCCCAGGGGGGAAACACCCCCAAUUGAGCAUGAGUUGAACUUUGUACAAAGUUCCGAAGCAAAAAGGGGGACGGGGGGGGGAGAAAAUGCAUUGUGUCUGAUGUUGGUCCUACACAUAAGAACAUAUGAAGAACCAAUGACCCAUCUAGUCUAGCAUCCUGUUCUUCCCAAAAAGUAAGAGCCAAGCACAAGAGCAGUCUCCUCUCCUGCAGUUUCCAUCAAUUGGGUUAGGGCUGCCAUAUUCCCCAAAGUGAAAGUUGCCAUAUGGGUUUUCCCAGACAUUUUGCCAAUUUGACGGAAACCCACCCGGAUGUCAUUUUGACAGUCCGAUUCCCAGGAAAACAUGGACAUAUGGCAGUCCUAACUUGGAUGCAUUUCUGUCUCUGACUGUGGAAGCAGAGCAGAGUCAUCCUGACUAGUACCCAUCAGAGUAGACCCACUGCGGUUAAUGAGCAUGUUUAACAUGCUCGUUCUUCCAUGUGACAUCCUGUCAAGAGGUCCAUUCCACACAAUGUCAGAAUCAGGCCAGCACCCUCCCAUUGGCAGGCGCCAAUGUCGUUUCUGUGCCUACUACAGAUGUUCCACUUUCGACAAACCUUCUAAAAACUUUAUGCCUCUUGGAUUUUUCAUUGCUUUCAUGGGUGUGCUAUUGCUCUUUUAAAACUGCUGUUAUAUUUCGUAAUUUUGUCUGUGUGUUUCGUAGUUGUUUGUGUGUUUUUUAAAUGAUUUUAUAUAUGAUUCAUUUUUCAAAAACAGUUUUAGUAUAUGUAUCUGUUAUAUACAGUAUAUGGUCUUAUACUUCAAGCCACUUUGGGAUGCCUCACGGGAACUGAGUCGUUAAUAAUAAUAGUAGCAACAACGAAGAAACAACAACCCACCUUUUCCCAGAUUUCUCCUCCUGUGUUAAUCUUCCCAAUCCAAUGCUAAAGAGGGUUGAGGGGAUGACACAUCAAUAUGGGAAGGGUCCAAGAAGCAGCUGCUCCAAAUGCUAAGUCUUACCUGCCUCUUUUUUCCUACAGGUCAGGGAUAACUUGAAAAACGUUGAUGCAGAAGAUCCCAAUUUAUUCAAGAAAAAUAUAAAACCACUACGUUUCGUGCCAAAAGAGCGAAGAGCGUUGCCAGUGAAGUAAAGAAGUCCUCAUGUCUGGAUGCGUGUGGACAUUCCUCCUUGGCCUCUCGACCUCUCAACCCAAAUCACAGACUCCCAAAUUGGAGGUGGACCAGAGAUCAACUUCCCCUUCACUGGAUUGCCCACUGUCUAAACCACGGUUGUGGCACUCUAUACCUCUCUCCUUCUCUCUUGGGAUUCUUAUGGGCCUUGCUCUUCCCCCGCAGUUUGAUUGCUUUUGCCUGACUAAAUGUUUUCCUUGAAUUGUGAUCAUGCCUCUUGCUCACCCAGUGGGUGGUUGUGGAAACUGUCAGAAAUGUAGCAGCAGAGAUCAUUCAGUGUGUUAUUUAAGGGUUAAUUCUGUUAUGAGUAAAGUCAGCUAACCAAAAAGGUGGUGGUGGAGGUAUUGUAUUCCUUAGGCCAGCCUAUCUAGACAAAUAGAUACUGAUGUGUUUGAUUCUCUUUUAAUGUUAAUCUUAAUUGUUUUAAAAUGUUUUAAAUUCUUUUAAACUGCUUUUUAAUGAUUAUAUAAAUUUGUAACCCCCUUAAAGGUUUUACUACAAUCAAGAGGGAUAUACAUUUUGUUAAACUAAAAAUGGAAACAAACCAGAUAUGAUCUCCAUGGAGGUAGCACAUGGUCUGCUUGGCUGCAUAGUUCUAAGGGAGGUUUUCCACUGUAUGUUUGGUUGCGUGUCUCGCUGCCCUGUGCAAGUCCUGUCUUAAAUUAUAUGCUGCUUUUGUUCUGUUUGCUCAAUAAAUUAGGAAAUGUU